AGUCUCGUGGUGAAGUCUGGAGUUCACGCUGGCAUCACACGCCAGAGGUCACGGGUUCAAAUCCCGUCGAGACUG
Molecule: transfer RNA, 75 nt
Filed under: Candidatus Saccharimonadota bacterium
Lineage: Bacteria; Candidatus Saccharimonadota
Also listed under: 1 other name
Description: tRNA-Val
Rfam family: tRNA
About the family: Transfer RNA (tRNA) molecules are approximately 80 nucleotides in length.
Source: RNAcentral